UUAGAAAUGCAUAAGAACGACAAAUGUGUGAUCUUUUUUGUCACAGUUGUCAACAGA
RNAcentral lists this small RNA (57 nucleotides) under Caenorhabditis elegans. RNAcentral describes it as "Unclassified non-coding RNA C52B9.18". The record is from RNAcentral. Lineage: Eukaryota; Metazoa; Nematoda; Chromadorea; Rhabditida; Rhabditidae.